Molecule: ribosomal RNA, 497 nt
Filed under: uncultured bacterium
Lineage: Bacteria
Description: partial 16S ribosomal RNA
Rfam family: Bacterial small subunit ribosomal RNA
Source: RNAcentral
GAUGAACGCUGGCGGCGUGCCUAAUACAUGCAAGUCGAGCGAACGGACGAGAAGCUUGCUUCUCUGAUGUUAGCGGCUGACGGGUGAGUAACACGUGGAUAACCUACCUAUAAUUCUUGGAUAACUUCGGGAAACCGGUUCUAAUACCGGAUAAUAUUUUCAACCGCUUGGUUCAAAAGUGUAUGACGGUCUUGCUGUCUCUUUUAGAUGGUUCCGCGCUGCAUUAGCUAGUUGGUAAGGUAACGGCUUACCAAGGCAACGAUGCGUAGCCGACCUGAGAGGGUGAUCGGCCACACUGGAACUGAGACACGGUCCAGACUCCUACGGGAGGCAGCAGUAGGGAAUAUUGCGCAAUGGGCGAAAGCCUGACGGAGCAACGCCGCGUGAGUGAUGAAGGUCUUCGGAUCGUAAAACUCUGUUAUUAGGGAAGAAAAUAUGUGUAAGUAAAUGUGCACAUCUUGACGGUACCUAAACAGAAAGCAACGGCUAACUACGUG